GAGUUUGAUCCUGGCUCAGGAUGAACGCUAGCUACAGGCUUAACACAUGCAAGUCGAGGGGUAGCAGGGUAGCAAUACCGCUGACGACCGGCGCACGGGUGAGUAACACGUAUCCAACCUUCCCACAACUCAGGGAUAGCCUUUCGAAAGAAAGAUUAAUACCUGAUAGUACUUUUUUAAGGCAUCUUAAGAAAGUUAAAGAUUUAUCGGUUAUGGAUGGGGAUGCGUUCCAUUAGAUAGUUGGUGAGGUAACGGCUCACCAAGUCUUCGAUGGAUAGGGGUUCUGAGAGGAAGGUCCCCCACAUUGGUACUGAGACACGGACCAAACUCCUACGGGAGGCAGCAGUGAGGAAUAUUGGUCAAUGGGCGAGAGCCUGAACCAGCCAAGUAGCGUGAAGGAUGAAGGUCCUAUGGAUUGUAAACUUCUUUUAUAGUAGAAUAAAGUGACCUACGUGUAGGUUUUUGUAUGUAUACUAUGAAUAAGGAUCGGCUAACUCCGUGCCAGCAGCCGCGGUAAUACGGAGGAUCCGAGCGUUAUCCGGAUUUAUUGGGUUUAAAGGGUGCGUAGGCGGAAUAAUAAGUCAGUUGUGAAAGUUUGCGGCUCAACCGUAAAAUUGCAGUUGAUACUGUUAUUCUUGAGUGUACAUAAGGUAGGCGGAAUUCGUGGUGUAGCGGUGAAAUGCUUAGAUAUCACGAA
Molecule: ribosomal RNA, 697 nt
Filed under: uncultured bacterium
Lineage: Bacteria
Description: bacterial SSU rRNA
Rfam family: Bacterial small subunit ribosomal RNA
Source: RNAcentral